GACGAACGCUUGCGGCGUGCCUAAUGUAUGCAAGUCGAGCGCGGCUUGCUCCUUCGGGAGCAAGCCGAGCGGCGAACGGUUGAGUAACACGUAGGCAACCUGCCCCGAAGUGGGGGAUAACUCCGCGAAAGCGGGGCUAAUACCGCAUGUGGAUCAAGAGCGCCUGCUCUUCUCUCCAAAGUGGCAACACGCUUCGGGAUGGGCCUGCGGCCUAUCAGCUUGUUGGUGGGGUAACGGCCUACCAAGGCAACGACGGGUAGCUGGUCUGAGAGGAUGGUCAGCCAGACAGGGACUGAGACACGGCCCUGACUCCUUUGGGGGGCAGCAAUGAGGGAUCUUGCGCAAUGGGGGCAACCCUGACGCAGCGACGCCGCGUGGGUGACGAAGGCCUUCGGGCUGUAAAGCCCUUUUGUGAGGGACGAAUACUGACGGUACCUCACGAAGAAGCCCCGGCUAACUCCGUGCCAGCAGCCGCGGUAAUACGGAGGGGGCGAGCGUUGUCCGGAUUUACUGGGCGUAAAGCGCGUGUAGGCGGCCUGCCUUGUCCGGUGUGAAAGCCCGGGGCUCAACCCCGGGAUGCCGCUGGAGACGGGCAGGCUUGAGGAUGGCAGAGGGGCGUGGAAUUCCUGGUGUAGCGGUGAAAUGCGUAGAGAUCAGGAGGAACACCCGUGGCGAAGGCGGCGCCCUGGGCCACACCUAACGCUGAGACGCGAAAGCGUGGGGAGCGAACGGGAUUAGAUACCCCGGUAGUCCACGCCGUAAACGAUGGUCACUUGGUGUGCGCGGUAUCGACCCCGCGCGUGCCGGCGCUAACGCAAUAAGUGACCCGCCUGGGGAGUACGGCCGCAAGGUUGAAACUCAAAGGAAUUGACGGGGGCCCGCACAAGCGGUGGAGCAUGGGCAUUAAUUCGUUACUAACCGAAGAACCUUACCCAGGUUUGACAUCCGCUGCAAGUCCCGGAAACGGGUACCCCCGCCUCGUAAGAGGCGGCAGCGAGACAGGUGUUGCAUGGCUGUCGUCAGCUCGUGUCGUGAGAUGUUGGGUUAAGUCCCGCAACGGGCGCAACCCUCACCCCAUGUUGCCAGCGUCAAGUCGGGCACUCUUGGGGAACUGCCCGGGUAACCGGGAGGAAGGUGGGGAUGACGUCAAGUCGGCAUGGCCCUUACACCUGGGGCUUGACCCAUGCUACAAUGGGCGCGACAGAGGGACGCAAGCCCGUGAGGGGGAGCCAAUCCCAUAAACGCGUUCCCAGUUCGGAUUGCAGGCUGCAACUCGCCUGCAUGAAGGCGGAAUCGCUAGUAACCGCCGGUCAGCCAAACGGCGGUGAAUACGUUCCCGGGCCUUGUACACACCGCCCGUCACGUCACCUGAGUCUGCGGCACCCGAAGUCACUGGCCCAACCCGCAAGGGGGGGAGGUGCCGAAGGUGUGCCCGGUAAGGGGGACG
Molecule: ribosomal RNA, 1447 nt
Filed under: uncultured bacterium
Lineage: Bacteria
Description: bacterial SSU rRNA
Rfam family: Bacterial small subunit ribosomal RNA
Source: RNAcentral